Molecule: ribosomal RNA, 446 nt
Filed under: uncultured bacterium
Lineage: Bacteria
Description: partial 16S ribosomal RNA
Rfam family: Bacterial small subunit ribosomal RNA
Source: RNAcentral
CCUACGGGUGGCUGCAGUCGAGAAUCAUUCACAAUGGGGGAAACUCUGAUGGUGCGACGCCGCGUGGGGGAAUGAAGGUCUUCGGAUUGUAAACUCCUGUCAUGUGGGAGCAAAUUAAAAAGAUAGUACCACAAGAGGAAGAGACGGCUAACUCUGUGCAAGCAGCCGCGGUACUACAGAGGUCUCAAGCGUUGUUCGGAAUCACUGGGCGUAAAGCGUGCGUAGGCGGUUUCGUAAGUCGUGUGUGAAAGGCGCGGGCUCAACCCGCGGACGGCAUAUGAUACUGGGAGACUAGAGUGAAGGAGGGGGAAGCGGAAUUCUGGGUGUAGCAGUGAAAUGCGUAGAUAUCGAGAGGAACACUCGUGGCGAAGGCGGGUUCCUGGACAUUAACUGACGCUGAGGCACGAAGGCGAGGGGAGCGAAAGGGAUUAGAUACCCGUGUAGUC